AUGCAGGCGCAGAUCGAGCGGGUGCUGCCGCUCUCCAGGGCCCUCGCCGCUGCGCACCGGCAAGUGCAGGAUGCCAAGGAGGGAUUAUCCGUGGAGAGGGCGCGGCUUGGGGAUCUGCAGAGGCUGCUCAGGACGAGGCAGCAGUCCAUGGUAGCCCAGGUCGCCGCCCUGUACCCUAUCAGGGUCUUCCGUGACCUGCCGGUUGCACAAAACCACCAUUCCCGUACCAAUGGAGAGUGUCGAACACCUUCGGAAGAGAAUGGCGCACUUACGCAAGAGAAUGGAAAUGGAACACAUUUGCUCAGCGUUAUCAAGGACAAAGCACAUGUAAGCAGCGUUGGACCCUUGACAUUUUUUGGUUGGCAAAUUGGAAAGCCCAGGACAAAGCAGCGGACUUACAGCCACAAGGAGCUUCAGUGGUCAGCAGCUGUGCUUGGAUAUGCAGCACAUAUCGGUCGACGUGGGCGGGGCUGGUGGCGAUCCCCAGUCGGGCUACAUAGGGCCGACGACGAUCUGGACAGGGGCGGUUUGAGGCGCUCGCGCACAUCGGAGGUCCAGUGGCGGCCGCGUCCUGCAUCAAAGGUGCGGCUAGGAAUCAGAGGAGGAUAUGGGAGGGCAAGAGGAAGGGACCGGGGAGGGGCUCACCGACGCGGCGACGCUUGCCGGAGGCUGGCUGGCGGCUGGGCCACACGGUGA
This 696-nucleotide ribosomal RNA is filed under the name Triticum aestivum (bread wheat). Its description in RNAcentral is "partial small subunit ribosomal RNA". The record is from RNAcentral. Lineage: Eukaryota; Viridiplantae; Streptophyta; Magnoliopsida; Poales; Poaceae.